GUGUUGCAGCCGCCGGCCGAUGCCGCCCAGCUCAUUCGCAGAAGAAGCUGCAGUACAUUGAAACGGAUCGCGCGUGAGAACAAUUAACGGAUGCUUCUUAUGUGCCGGGAGCUAAACGUGUACUCUGCGCUGUUUACAGGUGAUCACUAGCUGUGUCAUGUCAGGAGUGUCGGCAUGGCGACAGCGCAGAGGCAGAAGAGGAGGCGACCGAGAGCGCGGCAGCGGCCAAGCGACCAGAUGGCUGAGCGGCCGCCCGGAAUGACAAACGGAAAAUUGACAUCUGACGGAUUAUAUGUGGGAUUUGCAAACUGCCUGUCGCCGAAUAAACCGCCAAAGAAAACAAGAAAAAACAGAGAAAUGAGGAUGAUGUUGCCACCUCUGCGAGAGCGUCCGAACAACAUCAUGCACCAAAACCUCAGCGAGACUGGACGGGUUACCAGUAGUUCUCUGUAUUGGACAAACUGGAGUCCAAUAUAAUAAAGAACAGAGUACAUUCAG
Long non-coding RNA from Syngnathoides biaculeatus (alligator pipefish), 498 nucleotides. RefSeq lists it as uncharacterized. The transcript is spliced from 3 exons. NCBI's taxonomy places the organism in Eukaryota, Metazoa, Chordata, Actinopteri, Syngnathiformes, Syngnathidae. The record is from RefSeq and is a predicted model, not a curated record.